UAGUAAUCGCGAAUCAGAAUGUCGCGGUGAAUACGUUCCCGGGCCUUGUACACACCGCCCGUCACACCAUGGGAGUGGGUUGCACCAGAAGUAGAUAGCUUAACCUUCGGGAGGGCGUUUACCACGGUGUGAUUCAUGACUGGGGUGAAGUCGUAACAAGGUAACCCUAGGGGAACCUGGGGUUGGAUCACCUCCUUACCUUAA
Molecule: ribosomal RNA, 204 nt
Filed under: Aeromonas salmonicida subsp. salmonicida
Lineage: Bacteria; Pseudomonadati; Pseudomonadota; Gammaproteobacteria; Aeromonadales; Aeromonadaceae
Description: partial 16S ribosomal RNA
Rfam family: Bacterial small subunit ribosomal RNA
Source: RNAcentral